Molecule: ribosomal RNA, 406 nt
Filed under: uncultured bacterium
Lineage: Bacteria
Description: partial 16S ribosomal RNA
Rfam family: Bacterial small subunit ribosomal RNA
Source: RNAcentral
AUUGAACGCUGGCGGCAGGCCUAACACAUGCAAGUCGAGCGAGCGGCGGACGGGUGCGUAAUGUCUGGGGAUCUGCCUGAUAGAGGGGGAUAACUCCUGGAAACGGUAGCUAAUACCGCAUACUAUCGGAUGCACCCAUAUGGGAUUAGCUAGUUGGUGGGGUAAAGGCUCACCUGGGCGACGAUCCCUAGCUGGUCUGAGCGGAUGAUCAGCCACACUGGGAAUGAGACACGGCCCAGACUCCGACGGGAGGCAGCAGUGGGGAAUAUUGCACAAUGGGCGCAAGCCGGAUGCAGCCAUGCCGCGUGUAUGAAGAAGGCCUGAGGGUUGUAAAGUACUUUCAGCGGGGAGGCGUUACCCGCAGAAGAAGCACCGGCUAACUCCGUGCCAGCAGCCGCGGUAAUUC